UUAUCGGAGAGUUUGAUCCUGGCUCAGGACGAACGCUGGCGGCGUGCCUAAUACAUGCAAGUCGAGCGGACAGAUGGGAGCUUGCUCCCUGAUGUUAGCGGCGGACGGGUGAGU
Molecule: ribosomal RNA, 114 nt
Filed under: Bacillus cereus
Lineage: Bacteria; Bacillati; Bacillota; Bacilli; Caryophanales; Bacillaceae
Also listed under: 4 other names
Description: partial 16S ribosomal RNA
Rfam family: Bacterial small subunit ribosomal RNA
Source: RNAcentral